Molecule: long non-coding RNA, 263 nt
Filed under: Nicotiana benthamiana
Lineage: Eukaryota; Viridiplantae; Streptophyta; Magnoliopsida; Solanales; Solanaceae
Description: long non-coding RNA (NBEN_LNC014979)
Source: RNAcentral
UGGAAUUAGUUCUGAGAUAGAAUUUAAAAGAAAGGGUAUAGUCCCAUUGAGUUCUAGACGGAAUUUGGAUUACAAGCACUGGUUCUUACCCCUUUAGAUUAUUGAUCCUAUUUGGUAGUCUAUUGAUUCCGUUUCUGAAUUUAUCCAAGCUCAGUUUGUUCUAUUUGGGUGUCCGUAUUGCUGUUUGGUUCUACAAAUCAGUGUGGUCUUUGGUUUGAGUGUAUUUUGAUUCAAAGAGUGGUAUUGCUGUGUUGGUUUUGUUU